GACGAACGCUGGCGGCGUGCCUAAUACAUGCAAGUAGAACGCUGAAGAGAGGAGCUUGCUCUUCUUGGAUGAGUUGCGAAAGGGUGAGUAACGCGUAGGUAACCUGCCUUGUAGCGGGGGAUAACUAUUGGAAACGAUAGCUAAUACCGCAUAACAAUGGAUGACACAUGUCAUUUAUUUGAAAGGGGCAAUUGCUCCACUACAAGAUGGACCUGCGUUGUAUUAGCUAGUAGGUGAGGUAAUGGCUCACCUAGGCGACGAUACAUAGCCGACCUGAGAGGGUGAUCGGCCACACUGGGACUGAGACACGGCCCAGACUCCUACGGGAGGCAGCAGUAGGGAAUCUUCGGCAAUGGGGGCAACCCUGACCGAGCAACGCCGCGUGAGUGAAGAAGGUUUUCGGAUCGUAAAGCUCUGUUGUAAGUCAAGAACGGGUGUGAGAGUGGAAAGUUCACACUGUGACGGUAGCUUACCAGAAAGGGACGGCUAACUACGUG
RNAcentral lists this ribosomal RNA (497 nucleotides) under uncultured bacterium. Its description in RNAcentral is "partial 16S ribosomal RNA". It matches the Rfam family "Bacterial small subunit ribosomal RNA", at positions 28 to 507 of the family's 1533-position model. The record is from RNAcentral.